Molecule: long non-coding RNA, 229 nt
Filed under: Elaeis guineensis (African oil palm)
Lineage: Eukaryota; Viridiplantae; Streptophyta; Magnoliopsida; Arecales; Arecaceae
Description: long non-coding RNA (EGUI_LNC008766)
Source: RNAcentral
UCUUCUUCCUUCUCUUCUCUUUCUUUUCCUUCGGUUCCGGCAUAAUGACCAGGAAUCCGACCCAGGGAGCUCGGUCGGGGAACCCGACCGACGACUCCCGAUCGGCUCCGGAAGAUGAGGCCUCCUCGCUUUCGGGGCCGAACGUCGAUCGGCUUCGGGAGCACUAUCGCAUCCCGAAGCAGUUUCGGCUCUCUGCUCCAGGGGCCGGCGGUCGGGUCAACAACCCCCC